AAUGGCUAUUGCCAAAAUACAAGAAAACUAGAGACCCUUGAAACUAGACUAGAAGCAAGAAAGGAGUUGACAAGAGUGAAGAGGGCUUCACUCUUGCCUCUAUAUAUAUUAUCUAACUAGAAGCCACGUGGCAAUGUUCUAUAAGACCUCCAAUAUAUGUUGACUUUCUAGGCCACAUGCCUUUGCUUGCAAGGCAAGUUUUCUAUGGAUGGACCACGUAGUUAGCUUGUUCUUUAAGCUUCCAACAUGCGUGGCACAUGGCUAACUUGUUGACCAAGUUUCUAACCUAAAAGUCAACUAUAGACUCCUAUAAAGUCAAAGCAGCGUCUAUGAAGCUUCUAAGAAGCUUCUCUAGAAGAUAUUACACAAUUAACCUACUUUUAUCUACUUUUACAUACUUUUAUCUAUUCAUAUAGGUAAUUAUAUGUAUGUCCGUGACAUUACCUCCCCUUCUAGGGACGAGUUCCACGAGGAGCGGUGAUUAUAUAUUGAGAAGAUCUAAUAUGCGGCGAAUUGUAUUUGCUACAUACUCUGAUCUUUGUUCUCUUCGAAGAUAGUUGAUGGGUCCUCUUAGCCAUCGAUAGUGUGCCAUUCCAGGGCGAGAAGACCACCUUGUUAUUUGAUCACUGUUGAGGCCUUCAUAACUUCCUUCAAAUAAUACAUUUGAAACACCAUCAAGAGUCGUUCCUAUCUCCAAUAAUAUCACCAAACAUCGAGAAUCUCUUCCAAGGUCGUGAUACCAAACGCGUUGUAUCUCACCAUCUAUUCGAGGAAGAACAUGUCGUUCUUGAGGGCCUUCAUCUCGGUUGCGUCGUCUUGAAGGUUGUGACAAUCGCAAUGUCUCAUCCGGUAAGUCAGCAAACGAAGGUUCUUGAGUUGAAUCCGCUUGUUGUUGGCUCUCCAUCUAAUUAGCGUCACAAAAUGCAAAGAAGUUACAAACAAGGAUAGGAGAUUGAAUGUUAUCUUGCCUCAAUCUUGUCUCUUUUAUAAGAGAGGUUUUCAUCUUGGUUUUGAUGGAUGUCGUUGAUGAAAAACUUUGACUUUAGCUGAUGCAUUUGCUAGAUUCCUGGAUGGCUCCCAUGUGCGCUCACUAAUAUCAUAUCCGCGCCAAUGAACAAGAUAUUCCAGCUUAUUUCGGCGCCGCCUUGAGUCUAAUAUCUCUUCCACCUCAAAUUCUUCAUUAUUAUCUACUUCUAUAGGAGGCGGUGGCAUUUGUCUUCUUCCUUGUAUAUCCACUGUCUUAUAUGGUUCAAGAAGAGAUACGUGGAAUACAGGAUGGAUCUUCAUUGACUCCGGUAGAUGUAACCGAUAUGCAACUGGGUUGAUCUGUUCAGAAACAGAAAAGGGGCCAAGCCUACGAUAGUCCAACUUGUCACAAGGUCCAGUAGUCUUGAUAUUGCGACGAAGUAGCCAUACCUUAUCACCCACGUUGAUUUGUGGUUGCUCCUUACGAUAUAGAUCUGCGUUUAUCUUUUGUCGUUCUUGAGCUUCCUUCAAUUGUGUCUUCAUUAUUGCAUGUAACUCUGACAACCGAUUUGCCAUAUCUUCUGCUGCAGGAUUAUCAACUUUUGAAAAAUCAAAAGUAUCAAGUCGUGGAUGAUAGCCAUAAUUGGCAAAGAAAGGUGUUUGUUGCGUGGAAGAAUGUACCGUAUUAUUAUAAGCAAACUCUGCCAAUGGCAGAAGGGUUGUCCAAUCAUCUUGUUGGUAGUUGAUAGUACACCUUAAAUAUUGCUCCAAGACUUGGUUUACGCGCUCUGUUUGUCCAUCAGUUUGAGGAUGGAAAGCCGAAGAUAGCUUUAUGUCCACUUUUAAAAUCUUGAAAAGGGUCCUCCAAAAUCUUGACACAAAUUGAGUUCCCCUAUCCGAUAUGAUAUCUUUAGGUAACCCAUGAUAGCGAUAGAUAUUAUCAAUGAAAAGCUUAGCUGUUUCUUCACCUGUGAUAGAUUUUGUAUAUGGCACAAAAUGUACCAUCUUGGUGAAACGAUCUACUAUCACAAAUAUAGAAUCAUAAGAUCUUGAGCUUGGAAGAUCUGUAAUGAAAUCCAUAGAAACAGAAGACCAUGGUUGUUCUGGUAUAGGUAAUGGCUGAAGAAGUCCGUAAGAUCGAUGUCGAGGAAUUUUUGAUCUUGAACAAAUAUCACAUGAUUGUACAAAGUCUUUGACUGACUUCCACAUUUGUGGCCACCAAAAAUUUCUUGAUAUGAGUUCCAGAGUCUUAUUAUAUCCAAAGUGCCCUGCUGCUGGAAAGUCAUGACGUGCUUGAAGAACACGCAAACGUGCUUUUCUUUCUGGAACAUAUAGGCGUCCUUCAAAAUAUAAUAGAUUAUUCUUGAACUCGAACUUAGAAGAAUCAUGAGACUUGGAAGAAUUAUUCUCGAUAUCAUGAACAAGAGGGUCUGAGGACAUACUGGACUGGAUUUGCUUGAGAAAAGUUGAAUCAACAGUCAAUGUUGAUUUCAUUGCUCGGAGAUGAAAUUGCUCCGGUUUCAAGAGGACCGUUCUUUGUUGCUCAAAAGCUGCAUCUCCUUCUUUUGGUGCAAAAUAAGAACGUCUAGAUAGGGCAUCGGACAAACCUUGUUGUUUUCCUGGCCGAUAAGUGAUAAUGAAGUCGAAUCUUGACAAAGACAUACUCCAACGAGCUUGACGACGAUUCAACACGCGUGCUGACAUGAAAUACUCGAGGUUCUUGUGAUCUGUAUACACAGUGACUGGACUAGAAGCACCUUCUAGAUAAUGACGCCAUUCUUGAAAGGAAUCCACGAUUGCAAGAAGUUCUUUAUCGUGGAUCUCAUAAUUGAUCUCGGCUGCUGAGAAUUUUCUUGAAUGAAAAGCUAUCGGAUGAAGUUUGUCAUCUGUUUCCAUUUGUGAUAAAACUGCACCCAAGGCAAAAUCCGAUGCGUCUGUUUCCAUAAAAAAUGCCUUGGAAAAGUCAACACGAUAUAAGACUGGUGCAGAGACAAACGAUGUCUUCAAGGCUUCAAAUGCUGCUUCCGCUUCUUGAUUCCAUUGGAAUUUAUCUUUACUAGUCAAGCGUGUAAGUGGAGCUGCAACUCGUGAGAAGUCUUUGAUGAAGAUCCGAUAGUAAUUGGCAAAUCCCAAGAAACAUUGGACAUCUCUUACAGUCUUUGGAAUCUUCCAAUCCAUGAUUGUUUGGACUUUCUUAGAAUCCAUUAUAAGACCAUCAUUUGAAAUGAUGUAUCCUAAAAAGUCAACUUGAGUAGUGUGAAAUACACACUUUUCCAUCUUGGCGUACAAUCCUUCUUGUCGACGACGAGACUUUUCUUGUUCAGUAAGAGGUUUGAAACGUCAACAUUCUUAGAAUAAAUCAGGAUAUCGUCUAGGUAGCAGACGACAAAAUUGUCUAAGAAUUCACGAAAUACAACGUUGAGGCCCACUUGUGCGACUCUCGGAUCGAAAUUCAAAAAGUCGAUUGUCGCACUUCACAGCAAAGUCAAUUGCUUGACUCAAUGUUUGUGGAUCAGGUAAAUUAAGCAUCAAUUUCUUUACCUCAUAUUGUAAUCCGUAGAGAAAUUGACUCACAAGUGCGGCAUCAUCCCACUUGAUAUCAGUUGCAAGUUGUCGAAAUUGCGAAGCAUAUAAUGUUACUGAUCGAUUGCCUUGUCGCAAAAUACGGAUCUUGUUGGUUGCAACACGAAUUGCAUCAUGUUCUCCAAACAUGGAUCGAAACUCCGCCAAAAAAGCCUCCAGAUUAUCCAAUAUUAGAUCUCGUCGUUCAAGAAAAGAUGAAAACCAUGACAAUGCUGAACCUGAAAGAAGUGUACCAAUGAAUCUUACUUGUGACCCUGGAGUUGGAUAGCUCUGGGGUUGAAGUUCAAUCACUAGUUGGACCUGAUUGAUGAAUCCUCGAAACUUGGAUCUGGUACCAUCAAACUUCUCGGGCAAGGCAACUCUCGGUUCUCUAACACUCGAAGGGUGUUCCAUUCUGGGAGAAGGGACAUGGUUUGGUGCAGAUGUUGAAGCAGCCCCAAUCAUCUCUAUAUCUUCACUUCCUACCAUUCUUGUUGCUCCUUGUGGUGGUAAAUUGAGUUGAUGCAUCGCAAGCAUUAACUCCCUCAAUUGUUCUUGCAUCUGUGCCAUUGCACUCUUCAUUUCAACAAGCUCUGCCAUAGUAGCACUUAGAAAAGAGAAGAUGUCUAACAAUGCUCAAAACAAAUAGAAGAGAGGAAUUGAUAACAAAGAAAAUACUAAGAACAAUAUCAGUUUAAAAGAGGGUAAUCCGCAACUUCUAAUGCGCUUAUGUCUUAUCAAGAAAAAGGGGUAAUCCACUCUUAAUCAAGAAAAGACAAAGCUCUGAUAUUGUAAGUGUACUCUUGUCAAUCUGUCAAGGAUAAGAACUCGAUGAAAGCUAAAGAGUAAGUAAGACUUUUCUCAAAAAGAAAUAGGACAAAAUAGAAAUAUGUAUAUUAAAAAAGAAACUGGAAUGGCUAUUGCCAAAAUACAAGAAAACUAGAGACCCUUGAAACUAGACUAGAAGCAAGAAAGGAGUUGACAAGAGUGAAGAGGGCUUCACUCUUGCCUCUAUAUAUAUUAUCUAACUAGAAGCCACGUGGCAAUGUUCUAUAAGACCUCCAAUAUAUGUUGACUUUCUAGGCCACAUGCCUUUGCUUGCAAGGCAAGUUUUCUAUGGAUGGACCACGUAGUUAGCUUGUUCUUUAAGCUUCCAACAUGUGUGGCACAUGGCUAACUUGUUGACCAAGUUUCUAACCUAAAAGUCAACUAUAGACUCCUAUAAAGUCAAAGCAGCGUCUAUGAAGCUUCUAAGAAGCUUCUCUAGAAGAUAUUACACAAUUAAUCUACUUUUAUCUACUUUUACAUACUUUUAUCUAUUCAUAUAGGUAAUUAUAUAU
This 4868-nucleotide long non-coding RNA is filed under the name Physcomitrium patens. Its description in RNAcentral is "long non-coding RNA (PPAT_LNC002263)". Lineage: Eukaryota; Viridiplantae; Streptophyta; Bryopsida; Funariales; Funariaceae. The record is from RNAcentral.